GGACUACCCGCUGAACUUAAGCAUAUCAAUAAGCGGAGGAAAAGAAACCAACAGGGAUUGCCUCAGUAACGGCGAGUGAAGCGGCAAAAGCUCAAAUUUGAAAUCUAGCACCUUCGGUGUUCGAGUUGUAAUUUGAAGAUGGUAACCUUGGGUUUGGCUCUUGUCUAUGUUCCUUGGAACAGGACGUCAUAGAGGGUGAGAAUCCCGUCUGAUGAGAUGCCCAUUCCUAUGUAAGGUGCUAUCGAAGAGUCGAGUUGUUUGGGAAUGCAGCUCUAAGUGGGUGGUAAAUUCCAUCUAAAGCUAAAUAUUGGCGAGAGACCGAUAGCGAACAAGUACAGUGAUGGAAAGAUGAAAAGAACUUUGAAAAGAGAGUGAAAAAGUACGUGAAAUUGUUGAAAGGGAAGGGCAUUAGAUCAGACUUGGUGUUUUACGAUUAUCUUCUCUUCUUGAGUUGUGCACUCGUAUUUCACUGGGCCAGCAUCGAUUCGGAUGGCAAGAUAAUGGCAGUUGAAUGUGGCUUCACUUCGGUGGAGUGUUAUAGCUUCUGCUGAUAUUGCCUGUCUGGAUCGAGGGCUGCGUCUUUGACUAGGAUG
This 593-nucleotide ribosomal RNA is filed under the name Hansenula anomala. Its description in RNAcentral is "Wickerhamomyces anomalus partial large subunit ribosomal RNA". It matches the Rfam family "Eukaryotic large subunit ribosomal RNA", at positions 19 to 625 of the family's 3401-position model. Lineage: Eukaryota; Fungi; Ascomycota; Saccharomycetes; Phaffomycetales; Wickerhamomycetaceae. The record is from RNAcentral.